GACAGAGGGUGCAAACGUUGUUCGGAAUUACUGGGCAUAAAGCGCACGUAGGUGGUCCGCUAAGUCGCGUGUGAAAUCCCCCGGCUCAACCGGGGAAAUGCGCGUGAUACUGGCGGGCUUGAGAUCGGGAGGGGUGAAUGGAAUUCCAGGUGUAGCGGUGAAAUGCGUAGAUAUCUGGAGGAACACCGGUGGCGAAGGCGGCGUCCUGGACCAACACUGACACUGAGGAGCGAAAGCCAGGGGAGCAAACGGG
RNAcentral lists this ribosomal RNA (253 nucleotides) under uncultured bacterium. RNAcentral describes it as "partial 16S ribosomal RNA". It matches the Rfam family "Bacterial small subunit ribosomal RNA", at positions 524 to 776 of the family's 1533-position model. The record is from RNAcentral.